Molecule: ribosomal RNA, 180 nt
Filed under: uncultured Glomeromycotina
Lineage: Eukaryota; Fungi; Glomeromycota
Description: partial small subunit ribosomal RNA
Rfam family: Eukaryotic small subunit ribosomal RNA (bases 40-180)
Source: RNAcentral
GGAUCAGCAGGUUGGUCGUGCCAAUGGUAUGAACUGGCCUUGCUGAUUCCUCCUUCUUGAUGAGCCGUAAUGCCAUUAAUUUGGUGUUGCGGGGAAUCAGGACUGUUACUUUGAAAAAAUUAGAGUGUUUAAAGCAGGCAAGCGCUUGAAUACAUUAGCAUGGAAUAACGGAAUAGGACU